RNAcentral lists this ribosomal RNA (363 nucleotides) under uncultured Ilumatobacter sp. Its description in RNAcentral is "bacterial SSU rRNA". It matches the Rfam family "Bacterial small subunit ribosomal RNA", at positions 1 to 364 of the family's 1533-position model. The record is from RNAcentral. Lineage: Bacteria; Bacillati; Actinomycetota; Acidimicrobiia; Acidimicrobiales; Ilumatobacteraceae.
ACUGGAGUUUGAUCCUGGCUCAGGAUGAACGCUGGCGGCGUGCUUAACACAUGCAAGUCGAACGAGGUCCAUGGAGCUUGCUCCGGAAGACCUAGUGGCGAACGGGUGCGUAACACGUGAGAAACCUGCCCCGAUCUCUGGGAUAACAGUUGGAAACGACUGCUAAUACCGGAUGCCGUCACACCGCUUCAUGGCGGAGUGCCGAAAGAUUCAUCGGAUCGGGAGGGUCUCGCGGCCUAUCAGCUAGUUGGAGAGGUAACGGCUCACCAAGGCAUCGACGGGUAGCUGGUCUGAGAGGAUGAUCAGCCACACUGGGACUGAGACACGGCCCAGACUCCGUACGGGAGCAGCAGUGGGGGAAUC